This is a long non-coding RNA of Amphibalanus amphitrite, 476 nucleotides long. RefSeq lists it as uncharacterized. The record is from RefSeq and is a predicted model, not a curated record. NCBI's taxonomy places the organism in Eukaryota, Metazoa, Arthropoda, Thecostraca, Balanomorpha, Balanidae. The transcript has 2 exons.
GGUGAUUUGCAGACAGUGAAGCGUUCCAAAGUAAUAUCAGACAAUAGGUGUGCAAGAUAAUGUUAUAUAUAAGGGUUUAACUGUUUCAUUUGAAUGCAUGUUUGUGGCUGUGAUAGCGGUAACGGUGACAGAGACUGUGAACAGUUAACAGUGCGGCAGUGGCAGAUGCGUUGACAUUUUACAGUGGUGGCCCAGAUUGGCGGCUGUCACCGCCCGCGGCCAUCAGAGGUCGUCGCCGGGUUCAAUCGGCUCGUCGGGCCGGUCUAGCUGCCAGGGGCCGACUGCCGCCGGCGCCGACCCGUCCGUCACCCGGCGAGGCAGCACUCAUUAAUCGAAGCCAGCCCGAGGCACACCAAACGCCCCCCCCCCCCUCUUCCGUUACGUGGCUAACCAACUUUCCCCUGAAACCAAACACAUUCGCUCAUUGUAUGUUUUUAUUUGUAGAUGUCGCAAUACAAUCCAAAGUGCGACUCGAA